Molecule: ribosomal RNA, 468 nt
Filed under: uncultured bacterium
Lineage: Bacteria
Description: partial 16S ribosomal RNA
Rfam family: Bacterial small subunit ribosomal RNA
Source: RNAcentral
GACGAACGCUGGCGGCGUGCUUAACACAUGCAAGUCGAACGGAAAGGCCCUGCUUUUGUGGGGUGCUCGAGUGGCGAACGGGUGAGUAACACGUGAGUAACCUGCCCUUGACUUUGGGAUAACUUCAGGAAACUGGGGCUAAUACCGGAUAGGAGCUCCUGCUGCAUGGUGGGGGUUGGAAAGUUUCGGCGGUUGGGGAUGGACUCGCGGCUUAUCAGCUUGUUGGUGGGGUAGUGGCUUACCAAGGCUUUGACGGGUAGCCGGCCUGAGAGGGUGACCGGCCACAUUGGGACUGAGAUACGGCCCAGACUCCUACGGGAGGCAGCAGUGGGGAAGAUUGCACAAUGGGCGGAAGCCUGAUGCAGCAACGCCGCGUGCGGGAUGACUGCCUUCGGGUUGUAAACCGCUUUCGCCUGUGACGAAGCGUGAGUGACGGUAAUGGGUAAAGAAGCACCGGCUAACUACGUG